GAUGAACGCUGGCGGCGUGCCUAAUACAUGCCAGUCGAGCGAACAGACGAGGAGCUUGCUCCUCUGACGUUAGCGGCGGACGGGUGAGUAACACGUGGAUAACCUACCUAUAAGACUGGGAUAACUUCGGGAAACCGGAGCUAAUACCGGAUAAUAUAUUGAACCGCAUGGUUCAAUAGUGAAAGACGGUUUUGCUGUCACUUAUAGAUGGAUCCGCGCCGCAUUAGCUAGUUGGUAAGGUAACAGCUUACCAAGGCAACGAUGCGUAGCCGACCGGCGAGGGUGAUCGGCCGCACUGGAACUGGGCCACGGUCCAGACUCCUGCGGGAGGCAGCAGUAGGGAAUCUGCCGCAAUGGUCGAGAGCCUGACGCAGCAACGCCGCGUGAGUGAUGAAGGUCUUCCGAUCGUAAAGCUCUGUUAUUAGGGAAGAACAAAUGUGUAAGUAACUAUGCACGUCUUGACGGUACCGAAUCAGAAAGCCACGGCUAACUACGUG
This 497-nucleotide ribosomal RNA is filed under the name uncultured bacterium. RNAcentral's name for it is "partial 16S ribosomal RNA". It matches the Rfam family "Bacterial small subunit ribosomal RNA", at positions 28 to 507 of the family's 1533-position model. The record is from RNAcentral.